UUUCUCGAUCCCGCUGGCGCAAUACAACCCGUUGGAUGAGUCGAGCCCACUUGUUUUGAAGCUAAGGAAGAGUCCUUCACUUUUGGAUUGAUCCAAAUGCGCCUCUCUCAAUCUCAAAGCAAUGGCUCAGCUGCUUAAGCUGAAAGCUUGAACUCUGGUGUCAAAAAAGGGGAGUAAAGUAAGCCUUAAAUUUCCCAGCUUCGAUUCUUUGAAUCGGCCACUGGGAGGUACCUUUUAUUAAAUUUUAUUCAUUUAUUUUAUUAAAUGCAUUCAUUCUGAGGUCCAGUAUUAUUUUAUUGAGUCGAAGUAUGAACGUGAUUUAGUGGUCAAAUGUUAUUUUCCCUUGCACAGACGUUGGAACAAAGGGUAGUGGAUGCAUACGGCUAGGGCCUAAGACAGGAGGGGCGCAUGGACUAAAUGCUGGUGGCGCAAGGGAAGUGGUGGCCUGGAGCUGUGCAAGGCAACAGUAGGUGGUUGUUGGAGUGAACUGUGAAGGUGAUGAAACGGGGUAGAGGAGAGAGAAGGAAACGUAUAAAAAUUUAAUUUAAUAUUGAAUUUAAAUUUUUAUUUAAUUAAUAAUUCCACAUGUUGUAUACGGAUUGGUUGCGGA
RNAcentral lists this long non-coding RNA (610 nucleotides) under Gossypium raimondii (Peruvian cotton). RNAcentral's name for it is "long non-coding RNA (GRAI_LNC006787)". The record is from RNAcentral. Lineage: Eukaryota; Viridiplantae; Streptophyta; Magnoliopsida; Malvales; Malvaceae.